UGGGGAGCCUUUGCUGCUUGUGCUCCGCAGGACUUCAGGAUUUAAAUGGGCUGAGACGUAUGUCCUGUUCCUCUCCUUUCUAAAAGACUGGAAAUGGCUCUGAAUUUAAAGUCAUUUCAGGACUCUAUGACACUUAGAGAAGAUGUCUUUUGAUUUUUCCCAUCUAACUAGAAAUUUCUGGCCUUCUUCAACCUUCAUGUAAUAGUGAAUUUAUUGAUACUGCAUUUGCAAGGUUGACGUUUCAUUUCUAAGAAAAGAAUGUUUACUACAAUUAGAUGAGAAGAGUCUCUUCUGGUCAAAGAAGAUCUCUUAAGAGUAGUUCACAUGGGGAAAAGAAAAAUGGAUCUGAGAACGCUGUCUGGGCUUGGUACCAAGAGCUGGUAUUUCACAGCAGCGACCGCCUCACAGACGAGCUGUGGGAAGCAGGAGGGAGACUCUCUCUUAGGGUGCCACUACUAUGGAGACACAGCUGGGCUGAACAAGAUUUGCUUCAAACGACAACAAGAGAGACAGAAAGUAUCUGGUUCAACCGCUGCCCGAGCAGGCAGGCACCAGAAGAGCUAGCAGCCAAUCCGGCCAUGCUCGAAGCCAGCUCUGCAGCUCAGCCAAUCAGUGACAUCAUUGCUUUCUUUAGCUUGCCCAUGGUGAUGUGAAGAUGAGAAGAAAUAGCAAGGCCCAACCAGUUCUUCAUCUGGAGACAGUUCAACGUUCUGCAAACCAGGUAAAAAUAAUACAGACGAUUUUAGGAAUGCAUAGUCACUUUAUAAAAUAAACUAUUUUCUUUCUCAAGUUUGAUCUACAGAUUUUUGCAGAAGCUAUAUUUAUCAUCUAAUGUAUAACUUGUUAAUAAACAUGACAUUGUAUCAAUUUCGAUUAUCUGUGAAGAGCAGAGUGACUAAAGCAUGCAUUUGUGCAUUGACUCAUUAAUAAAGUUAUAGUUGUAGUAUAACUUACUUUUAUAAAAAUAUUUUAAAGAAAAAAGAGGACAUGUGGCUAUUUGAUUUGCUUGUUACAAUUCUAAACAAAGUAAAGAGAGGUAUGGGCUAAAUAAAUUUAAUAUUUCUUUAAAAAGUAACUUUUACCAAAUGAAUACAUGUGCAUAUAUUUAAAAUUCAGGUAAAUUUAAAGGCUAGUAACUAAAGAAAUAAACCUUUUGGCACAACUGCAGGAAAGGAACCACUUUCAAACUCUUUAAUUUUUAUUUUACUUUUGUGGUUUUAAAUAACAUCUAUAAAUCUAUCUCAGGAUUUUUAGAGUUAGUGCUCUAACAAUUGAUUUCUUGUUGCUAUAGAUGUGGAUUUAAACUUCCUUAAGACCUCAAAAUUCUUGAUUCUCCCAAUAUAGCUAUAUCACUAUUUUUAUUGUUUUAAUUUAAAUCUGUAUCUGAAUUUAUAGUUAGUAAGACUAUACAAAUAAUGUUUACUGCUGAGACUGGUGAUGUGAUAUGAUUGCAUUCUCUUUACUGUAGUAGAAUUUUCAUUUUCUCUUGAAGUCAGUGCCCUUCCUUCCUUCCUUCCUUCCUUCCUCCCUCCCUCCGUCCCUCCGUCCCUCCCUCCCCUCCCUCCCUCCCUCCCUGCCUCCCUCCAUCCCUCCUUCCUCCUUCUCUCUCUCUCUCUCUUUCUUUCUUUUUUUUGAUGGAGUCUCUCUCUGUCACCCAGGCUGG
Long non-coding RNA from Homo sapiens (human), 1663 nucleotides. Ensembl annotates it as mir-99a-let-7c cluster host gene. Its record names the gene MIR99AHG. NCBI's taxonomy places the organism in Eukaryota, Metazoa, Chordata, Mammalia, Primates, Hominidae. The record is from Ensembl.